GCCGAGAUCGGCCUAGUCCAGACUAUGGUCGUGGUCGAGAUCGGCCAAGUCCGGACUCUGGUCGUGGUCGAGAUCGGCCAAGUCCUGACUAUGGUCGUGGUCGAGAUAGGCCUAUUCCUGACUUUGGUCGUGGUAGAGAUCGGCCAAGUGCUGACUUUGGUCGUGGUAGAGAUCGGCUAAGUCCUGAUUAUGGUCGUGGCCCUAGUCGAAGUCCUAAGCACAGGGAAAGGAAUUCUGAGUAUGGCCGUGGCCAUAGUCCAGUUGUAGGAAAGGAGAGAAAUC
This 282-nucleotide long non-coding RNA is filed under the name Solanum tuberosum (potato). RNAcentral's name for it is "long non-coding RNA (STUB_LNC003889)". The record is from RNAcentral. Lineage: Eukaryota; Viridiplantae; Streptophyta; Magnoliopsida; Solanales; Solanaceae.